ACUCCAGACUCCUACGGGAGGCAGCAGGGGGGAAUAUUGCACAAUGGGCGCAAGCCUGAUGCAGCCAUGCCGCGUGUAUGAAGAAGGCCUUCGGGUUGUAAAGUACUUUCAGCGGGGAGGAAGGCGAUAAGGUUAAUAACCUUGUUGAUUGACGUUACCCGCAGAAGAAGCACCGGCUAACUCCGUGCCAGCAGCCGCGGUAAUACGGAGGGUGCAAGCGUUAAUCGGAAUUACUGGGCGUAAAGCGCACGCUGGCGGUCUGUGCAGUCGGAUGUGAAAUCCCCGGGCUCAACCUGGGAACUGCAUUCGAAACUGGCAGGCUGGAGUCUUGUAGAGGGGGGUAGAAUUCCAGGUGUAGCGGUGAAAUGCGUAGAGAUCUGGAGGAAUCCCGGUGGCGAAGGCGGCCCCCUGGACAAAGACUGACGCUCAGGUGCGAAAGCGUGGGGAGCAAACAGGAUUAGAUCCCCCGGUAAC
RNAcentral lists this ribosomal RNA (474 nucleotides) under uncultured bacterium. Its description in RNAcentral is "bacterial SSU rRNA". It matches the Rfam family "Bacterial small subunit ribosomal RNA", at positions 328 to 794 of the family's 1533-position model. The record is from RNAcentral.